Benincasa hispida (wax gourd) is the source of this 3402-nucleotide non-coding RNA. Lineage: Eukaryota; Viridiplantae; Streptophyta; Magnoliopsida; Cucurbitales; Cucurbitaceae. The record is from RefSeq and is a predicted model, not a curated record.
AUAGCCGACAUUCGACAAUACCAUUUUGCGUACCCUUUCGAGUAAUUAAACUGCUCAGAUUACGUAUUGUUCAUUACAAAUCCAGCAUUUCUCAGCUGCAAGAUGAGAUCGAUUGGCUCUGCUUGACCUGAAAAGCAGAGUACUCAAAGACCCACUUGGAAUCAUGAGCUCUUGGAAUGAUUCCACGCAUUAUUGUGAUUGGUUUGGUGUUGCCUGCAAUUCCACGGUCAAAAGAGUAGUGGCUUUGAACUUGGAAUGUCGAAAACUGACUGGUUUGAUACCGCCUUCUCUGGGGAAUAUGACUUAUCUCACUGAAAUCAAUUUGGGAGACGACAAUUUUCAAGGCCAUAUUCCCCAGGAGUUUGGUAAGCUACUACAACUGCAACUUCUUAAUUUGUCCUUGAAUGAAUUUAGUGGUUAGAUUCCGGCAAAUAUGAGUUAUUGCACUGGCUUGUGUUUGCUUCAGUUUGGUGGGAAUAGGUUUGAAGGUCAGAUUCCAUAUCAGUUCUUCACUCUAACCAAGUUGGAAUUUCUUGGAUUCGGCAUUAACAAUCUCACUGGAACAAUCCCACCUUGGAUAGCAAAUUUUUCUUCGAUAUUACGUAUGUCAUUCGGGUACAACAAUUUUCAAGGAAACAUUCCAAGUGAAAUAGGACGCCUAUCUAAAUUGAAAAUGUUCCUAGUUGCUUCUAAUAAUUUGACAGUUCCAGUGUGGCCUUCAAUCUGUAAUAUAACUUCUCUAACUUACUUGUCUCUUGCUAACAAUCAAUUGCAAGGAACUCUACCACCAAAUAUCUGAUUUACUCUUCCUAAUCUUCAAGCCUUAGGUGGUGGGGUCAAUAAUUUUCAUGGGCCUGUUCCAAAGUCCUUAGCUAAUAUCUCCGGCCUUCAAAUCUUAGAUUUUCCUGGGAACAACCUUGUUGGAAUGCUACCUGAUGACAUGGGGAGAUUAAAAUACUUGGAGCAUCUAAAUUUUGCAUCUAAUAGACUUGGAAGAGGAAAAGUUGGUGACUUAAAUUUUAUUAGUUCCUUGGCUAAUUGUACAAGCCUAAGGAUAUUGAGUUUGAGUUCGAACCAUUUUGGAGGAGUAUUGCCUUCGUCUAUUGGCGACCUUUCAACCCCGCUGAGAGUCCUAGUUUUAGGUCAAAAUAUGUUAAGUGGAAGCAUUCCUACAGGGAUUGGAAACUUGAUUAACUUACAACGUCUUGCAAUGGAAGUUAACUUUGUGAAUGGCAGUAUUCCUCCCAAUACAGGGAAGCUUAAAAACUUGGAGGUUAUGUACUUGAAUUACAACGAAUUAUCUGGGCCAAUCCCUUCCUCCAUUGCUAACUUAUCUUCACUAACCAAGCUCUACAUGAGUCACAACAAACUUGACGAAAGUAUUCCAGCAGGCUUAGGACAAUGCGAAAGCCUCUUAACUCUUGAGCUAUCUAGUAACAACCUAAGCGGCACCAUACCAAAGGAAAUCCUUAGUCUCUCUUCCCUUUCGAUGUCUUUGGCCUUGGAUCAUAACUCUUUUACUGGUCGAUUGCCACAAGAAGUGGGUUUGUUAGUUCGUUUAUCAGAACUAGAUGUAUCAGAGAACCAAUUAUCAGGUGAUAUUCCUACCAACCUCGACAAAUGUAUUAGCAUGGAACGUUUGUAUCUUGGGGGUAACCAGUUUAAGGGAACAAUUCCUGAAUCUUUGGAAGAUUUGAAAGGAAUAGAAGAAUUGAAUCUCUCUAUCGACAACUUGUCUGGGCAAAUUCCCCAAUUUCUUGGCAGGCUUCGCUCUCUCAAGUAUCUCAAUUUAUCAUAUAAUAAUUUUUAGGGACAAGUGCCUACAGAAGGAGUUUUCUCCAAUUCAACCAUGAUUUCUAUACUUGGGAAUAACAAUCUAUGUGACGGUUUACAAGAAUUACAUUUUCCUCCAUGCAAACAUAAUCGAACACAUUCACCCAAGAAGUUUUUAGCGUCAAGGGUGUUAAUCCCCACAGCGUCUACAGUUGCCUGCCUUGUUAUUUUGGUGGGCAUCAUUUUUGUGUGUUUUGUGCUUAAGAAGUUCACAAAUUUCUUACUUGGAACUCAGUAAAUCAACGGAAGGAUUCUCUAAGGAAAAUUUCAUUGGUUCAGGUAGUUUUGGCUCUGUGUAUAAAGGUAUUCUUUCGAAUAAUGGAUCUAUUGUUGCCAUUAAAGUUCUAAAUCUCCAACAACAAGGUGCUUCCAAGAGUUUUUUGGAUGAAUGCAACGCCCUCUCAAACAUACGACAUUGAAAUCUCCUCAAGAUCAUAACUUCUUGCUCAAGCAUUGAUGUACAAGGGAAUAAAUUUAAAGCUCUAGUCUUUAAUUUCAUGUCCAAUGGAAAUCUUGAUUGUUUGCUUCAUCCCCCAAAUGAACAGAACAAUCAAAGAAGGUUAAAUCUCAUCCAAAGAUUGAACAUUGCUAUUGACAUUGCAUGUGGAUUUGACUAUCUCCAUAAUCAUUGUGAACCUCCAAUUGCUCAGUGUGAUCUAAAGCCUAGCAAUAUAUUGCUCGACGAUGAUAUGGUAGCUCAUGUAGGAGACUUUAGGUUAGCUAGAUUCAUGUUGGAAGAAUCAAAUGAUCAAAUAUUUUUUAGCCAAACCAUGUCACUUGCACUCAAGGGUUCGAUCGGAUAUAUCCUACCAGAAUACGGCGCAGGUGGAAGAAUUUCCACUGAAUGGGAUGUUUGCAGUUACAAAAUACUACUAUUAGAGAUGAUCAUUGGAAAAAGACCUAUCGAUGAGACGUUUUGCAAUAGUGUGGAUAUUCAUUUGGUUACCGAAAUGGCCUUGUCUCAAGGGGUCAUGAAUAUAGUUGACCCUUCUCUGCUAUAUGAAGAAAUAGCCGAAACAGGUUAAGAAGAAACGAAUGAAGAUAGAAUACAAGAAACAGCAAUGAUGAGUGAGGAUAUUGUUGAGGGCAUCUAGAGAGAAAGUCACAAUCUUGAGAAUCGGCUUCUCAUGCUCGUUGAGGACACUUAGAGAGAGAAAGUCGAUAGAUAUCGUCAUUAAUGAAUUACAAGCAAUUAAACGCUCCUAUCUCAAAUUUAAGAAAGGAUAUGGAAGUUCCCGUAGAAAUUUGUUUCUCCAAGCUUGAGAAACAAGUGAGUGAGUUUUUCCACCAACGAUAGGUUCCGUUGGAAAAUCCACUUCUCAAACAAACCUUGUCGACUGUUUCCAAUAGAUGGUGCAUUGUCUCAAUUAUAAUAUAAGAUAACCUUUUUCCAUUUGAUCUCAAUUAAUGAGAUUAUUUCUUAGAAUCUCAAGCAUUUGUUACAGCUACCAAGAUAAACCAAAUGCAAGGCUAUCUUUAGAACAGUUCAAAGUUUAAUACCAUGAUUUACAUGUAUGAUUACUUAUGGUUAAAUAUCUUUGAUAAGCUAUUGAAUGAACGAGUGAUGUA